This 477-nucleotide ribosomal RNA is filed under the name uncultured bacterium. RNAcentral describes it as "bacterial SSU rRNA". It matches the Rfam family "Bacterial small subunit ribosomal RNA", at positions 26 to 518 of the family's 1533-position model. The record is from RNAcentral.
AGGACGAACGCUGGCGGCACGCCUAACACAUGCAAGUCGAACGGAGAUUUGAGAGCUUGCUCUUAAAUCUUAGUGGCGGACGGGUGAGUAACACGUGAGCAACCUGCCUCUGAGAGAGGGAUAGCUUCUGGAAACGGAUGGUAAUACCUCAUAACAUUACAUGACCGCAUGGUCGUGUAAUCAAAGAUUUAUCACUCAGAGAUGGGCUCGCGUCUGAUUAGCUAGUUGGUGAGGUAACGGCCCACCAAGGCGACGAUCAGUAGCCGGACUGAGAGGUUGAACGGCCACAUUGGGACUGAGACACGGCCCAGACUCCUACGGGAGGCAGCAGUGAGGGAUAUUGCACAAUGGAGGAAACUCUGAUGCAGCGAUGCCGCGUGGAGGAAGAAGGUUUUCGGAUUGUAAACUCCUGUUUCGAGGGACGAUAAUGACGGUACCUCGGGAGGAAGCUCCGGCUAACUACGUGCCAGCCGCCGC